This 400-nucleotide ribosomal RNA is filed under the name uncultured bacterium. RNAcentral's name for it is "bacterial SSU rRNA". It matches the Rfam family "Bacterial small subunit ribosomal RNA", at positions 358 to 774 of the family's 1533-position model. The record is from RNAcentral.
GGAAUUUUGCGCAAUGGGCGAAAGCCUGACGCAGCAACGCCGCGUGAUCGCAGACGGCCUUCGGGUUGUAAAGAUCUGUCAGCAGGGACGAACAAUGACUGUACCUGCAGAGGAAGCACCGGCUAACUCCGUGCCAGCAGCCGCGGUAAUACGGGGGGUGCGAGCGUUGUCCGGAAUCAUUGGGCGUAAAGAGUUCGUAGGUGGUUUGUUAAGUUUGGUGUUAAAGGCGCAGGCUCAACUUGUGUAUGGCAUCGGAUACUGGCAGACUAGAAUGCGGUAGAGGUAAAGGGAAUUUCUGGUGUAGCGGUGAAAUGCUUAGAUAUCAGGAAGAACAUCGGUGGCGUAAGCGCUUUACUGGGCCGUAAUUGACACUGAGGAACGAAAGCCGGGGUAGCAAAUG